CCUACGGGUGGCAGCAGUGGGGGAUAUUGGACAAUGGGGGGAACCCUGAUCCAGCGACGCCGCGUGAGUGAAGAAGUAUUUCGGUUUGUAAACCUCUGUUAUCAGGGAAGAAAGAAAUGACGGUACCUGACUAAGAAGCCCCGGCGAACUACGUGCCAGCAGCCGCGGUAAUACGUAGGGGGCAAGCGUUAUUCGGAAUUACUGGGUGUAAAGGGGGCGUAGGCGGGAUAGUAAGUCUGAUGUGAAAUACCAGGGCGCAACCCUGGGACUGCUUUUGAAACUAUUAUACUAGAGUGCAGGAGAGGUAAGCGGAAUUCCUGGUGUAGCGGUGAAAUGCGUAGAUAUUAGGAGGAACACCAGUGGCGAAGGCGACUUGCUGGACUGUAACUGACGCUGAGGCGCGAAAGCGUGGGGAGCAAACAGGAUUAGAUACCCGUGUAGUC
This 443-nucleotide ribosomal RNA is filed under the name uncultured bacterium. RNAcentral describes it as "partial 16S ribosomal RNA". It matches the Rfam family "Bacterial small subunit ribosomal RNA", at positions 338 to 795 of the family's 1533-position model. The record is from RNAcentral.